Molecule: long non-coding RNA, 2247 nt
Organism: Peromyscus californicus insignis
Lineage: Eukaryota; Metazoa; Chordata; Mammalia; Rodentia; Cricetidae
Exons: 4
Source: RefSeq, a predicted model, not a curated record
UGCCAUGACCAAGUGGAAGUCAGAAGAUCACCUGUAGAAAUCAGCUCUCUCCCUCUAUCAUGUGGCCCUGGCCCUGGGGAUCAAAGUCAGUUCAUCAGGCUUAGUGGAAGGCACCCUUACCCACUGAGUCAUCUCAUUGGCCCCAAUUUCUACUUUUUAAAUUUCUAAGCUUGUUAUUUCUUUCCUUCUGCUGAGUUUAGGCUUAAUUUGUCUUCUUUCCCUGUUCCUGAAGGUGUGCAACUGAGUUGUAUGAUGUCGACAUUUAUUGUUGUGACAUCAACAAUAUUUGCUCUUAGAGACAUGUCUACUGCAUCUCACAAGCAGGCUGGGCUUCUGCAUUCAUUCAUUCCAUGGAGACUCUACACCCCUGCUUCCUGUCAUCAUAUCUGCCCCAAUUCCAGCUUGGCUAACCUUGGCAUCCCUGAGCAAAUCCCACAUCACAAACCACGGUAAGUGAUGUCUGCUGAAGCAGAGGUGAGCGCCUGCCAUCUGAAUGCAGCUUCUCCUCUUGAACCUGAGCAAGCCGGGAGCCAAGGUGUCUUCAGCAGCACCAGGCCUAUGACAGAGGACAGAGGUGAAUGAAGUGGAACACGGGCAGACACAGCGCAGCCCUCGCUUCUGCACAUUAAUGAAAAAAACCUAUUUAUGAACAGUGCUCUGUGAGGAAUCUGAGUGGGGCUGGCAGGCUCAGGCAGAACCGGUCAGGCUCCCAGCUCUGUUUCACUGUGUCUACAAGUGUUCUGCGGAUUUCUCUUCCACUGAGAAACAGAACUCGGGCAGGUCCCUGUCUUUUCUUCAAGCCUCUGGCUGCUUCUCUGUGGGCGGCUAGUGUGAGCAUUAAGAACACAGGCCUGCGAAGUGCUUCCCGCUGGGCUUAGUCAGUACCAGAGUAUGGUGGUGACUCCUGUCAACUUGAUGGGCUCUGGAGUCAAUGAAGGGGCGAGGCUCCGGGUGGAUCUGUGGGAACAUUCCCUGAAGGAUUAGCAGAGAGGGAGGAGGCCCAGAGCGGGUAGCACUGUCCAGCGGUGGCCCAGAUGUAAAGAGGCCCAAGGGAAAUAAUGUUGCUGCUUUUGCCGGCUGCCUUCAGGCCUAGCUGUAUUUAUGGAUGAUCACAGACAUGAACAAAGCCAGCAGAAGAUGAGGCCUGCAGACCCCAGGGCUAUGCCCAUGUCACAGCUGCUACCCUCCUUCACUCCAGAUCUGGGUGUCCCGCUACUCUAAACCAGGGGACAAAGGACCCAUGCUUUCCACCUGUCCUGUCCACACUUCCCCAACCUGGAAUGCUAGCCAGCUGCUCUUUCUGUGUCUGCUGCUGUGGUGGGCAGAUGUCCUCAUUCUGGCUUUCUGGGGGACACCCAGGCUCUGCUCCUCAGAGGUGAGGGCCAUGCCUUUUCCUGGGAUCUCCCCAGUCUCCACUCAGUGCCCAGGCUUCAGUGAGAGCUCACCCUUUCUACUCUCCAAGUCUCCCUACUCGUGUUCCUUACUUUCAUCUUGUUUAGAGGUAGAAAGACUUGGUGGAGCAGAGCUGAUCAGAUGGUGUGGCCAGGAAGCAGAGAGCGGUGACAGAGAGAAAGGAGCUAGGACAAGAGACACCUUUCCAAGAUAUGCUGUCCUCCAUGACCUACUUCCUCCAGCCAGGCCCCACCUCCCCGCUUUCACCAUCCUUCAGUAAUGCUGUCAAACCACAAACCCACCUACAGAUGAGUCUACUGAUGAGAUCAGGGCCUUAGGCCAUCACCUUAGAGACCCUCAUCUGCAGCCAACCCGCACAGCACAGGAGCCCAGGUGGGACAUUUCUUAUUUAAAUGUGACAGAUGUCAUGUGUUUGUUAAUUGUCUGUUUGGGCACCAAAAGACAUGGACUCACCAGUUUUAAAAGAUAUAAUUACUAUUUUCAUGUGUAUGCCUGUCUGUGUGGAUAUACGCAUGUGUGAGUUCACUGUCCACAGAGGCUGAAGAGAGCAUUAUAUCCCCUGAAGCUGGAGUUACAGGUGGUUGUGAGCUAUCCCAAGUGGGUACUGGGAAUAAAACUCCCAUCCUCUGGAAGAGCACCAAGAGCUCCGAACUGCUGAGGCCAUCUCCACAGCUCUAAGGAGCUGUCUGUUCUGUUCUCUGCUUCAUCUCUGUCACCAGGAAGGUCCACAGGGUACAUAGUAGGUUUUCAGUAAAUAUGUAUAGAAUGAACAAAGCCCUGAAGCACAUGGUUCUGUGUUAUAAGUUGGAUGCUGACCGGAAGUCAUCAAUAACA